ACAGAAUUCUAUCCUGCGGACUUGAAGCCAAGAGUGCUGUGAUUGGAUAUGCAGCAUUAUUGCAUCAUUACACGACAAAGCAUUGGUUUUAUGACACGGGAUGUAAUUUUUCUGGCUUUUAGAGAGCUGUAGUCGAUCCCUAGAUAUUCUUUAAAUUCACAAGGGCUUUGCCACCUAUUAUAAAGCAAUGGAAUAUAUGUUGACACCAAAUUUUGUCAGGUUCAGUGUUUUUCUAUAAGAAGGCUCGGGAUUUUUCAGAGAAAGUAUGUUCAGACUUGCAUGGAGAGAGGCUUUAGUUGUACAAUGUAAAAUACUGACGAUUUUUCAUUGUUGGGUAUUAUUUGGACAAUGUUUAGCUACUUAAGAUAUUAUAGUUAAUCAUGAUAUUUUGUUAGGAAGUUUUUGGUAAUGCCUAUUUUUAAUUUUUUUAAUGAAAUUCCUUCUUCAAAGGCUGCACAAGGCUUUGAUGUUCACAGAGAUCAUAGCAGCUAAAGGAUCUUCUUUCAAAGCAUUGCUGCUGUUUUAGGUUUGCCUUCUGUAAAUCUACAUCCCCAAGAGGAAAUAUUCAGAAGUUGCUUUCUGUAGAAGGAGAGACAAGACCUACAAUCAAUCUCAUCUUUUGCAUUUGCUCCCUGGCACUCAGCAGAGGACCAUUGUGACAUGCCCCUGCAUCGCUGGAUUGGAGCCAGCAAAGCUGAAGCUUGUAGAGCUGAAGUCCCUCAGACCCAACAACUCUGCUUUACUUAGUGCUGUGUCUGACUCAUGCAUAUGAGUGAAGGCUCAUUGCAUUACCACCUUUGGUGCAAUUCGGUAUCACAAAAUGAAGGAUGGAGGUGGCUGCAGCGUUCCUUUAUGGUGAAUAUGGCUGGGACUGGUGCUGCCAACGCUUCAUCCGUAUCUUCCAUCAGU
This 909-nucleotide long non-coding RNA is filed under the name Phasianus colchicus (ring-necked pheasant). RNAcentral describes it as "lncRNA (ENSPCLG00000006498.1)". The record is from RNAcentral. Lineage: Eukaryota; Metazoa; Chordata; Aves; Galliformes; Phasianidae.